UAAUAAUUUUACAUAUUUUUAUACAUAUUUUUAUCUUUUGGGGUUGAAAGCUUUGUUACAUCUUUGUCACUACUUGAGUACAAAGGGUAAAGUCUUGUAACUUCACAACUUUUCUAUUAAUGCAAAGAGUGUACUGAUUUGGAUGAA
This is a long non-coding RNA of Hibiscus syriacus, 147 nucleotides long. RefSeq lists it as uncharacterized. The record is from RefSeq and is a predicted model, not a curated record. NCBI's taxonomy places the organism in Eukaryota, Viridiplantae, Streptophyta, Magnoliopsida, Malvales, Malvaceae. The transcript is spliced from 3 exons.